CGGGGUGCACCAGGCGCGAAAACUUUACAAUGCGGGAAACCGUGAUAAGGGGACACCGAGUGCCAGCAUCAUAUGCUGGCUGUCCAGGUGUGUAAAAUACACCUGUUAGCAAGGGCCGGGCAAGACCGGUGCCAGCCGCCGCGGUAACACCGGCGGCCCGAGUGGUGAUCGUGAUUAUUGGGUCUAAAGGGUCCGUAGCCGGUUUGGUCAGUCCUCCGGGAAAUCUGAUAGCUCAACUAUUAGGCUUUCGGGGGAUACUGCCAGACUUGGAACCGGGAGAGGUAAGAGGUACUACAGGGGUAGGAGUGAAAUCUUGUAAUCCCUGUGGGACCACCUGUGGCGAAGGCGUCUUACCAGAACGGGUUCGACGGUGAGGGACGAAAGCUGGGGGCACGAACCGGAUUAGAUACCCGGGUAGUCCCAGCCGUAAACGAUGCUCGCUAGGUGUCAGACAUGGCGCGACCGUGUCUGGUGCCGCAGGGAAGCCGUGAAGCGAGCCACCUGGGAAGUACGGCCGCAAGGCUGAAACUUAAAGGAAUUGGCGGGGGAGCACAAGG
RNAcentral lists this ribosomal RNA (557 nucleotides) under uncultured archaeon. RNAcentral describes it as "bacterial SSU rRNA". It matches the Rfam family "Archaeal small subunit ribosomal RNA", at positions 326 to 883 of the family's 1478-position model. The record is from RNAcentral.